ACACGGGGGGGGCGAGCGUUAUUCGGAAUUACUGGGCGUAAAGGGCACGUAGGCGGCCUGAUAAGUGUGAAGUGAAAUGCCUGGGCUCAACCUGGGACUUGCUUCGCAUACUGUCAGGCUAGAGUCCGGGAGAGGCUGGUGGAAUUCCUGGUGUAGGGGUGAAAUCCGUAGAUAUCAGGAGGAACGCCGUUGGAGAAGUCGGCCAGCUGGACCGGGACUGACGCUGAGGUGCGAAAGCGUGGGGAGCAAACAGGAUUAGAUACCCUAGUAGUCC
This 274-nucleotide ribosomal RNA is filed under the name uncultured bacterium. RNAcentral's name for it is "partial 16S ribosomal RNA". It matches the Rfam family "Bacterial small subunit ribosomal RNA", at positions 523 to 796 of the family's 1533-position model. The record is from RNAcentral.